This 3926-nucleotide long non-coding RNA is filed under the name Schizosaccharomyces pombe (fission yeast). The record is from RNAcentral. Lineage: Eukaryota; Fungi; Ascomycota; Schizosaccharomycetes; Schizosaccharomycetales; Schizosaccharomycetaceae.
AUAAUUUGAUCAUCAACUUUAUUCAAAAGAACAUAUUGUAAACGAGAAUGACAAAACUUCAACAAUAAUUCAUCAUACGCUGCAUAAAAUACCAUUGUGCAUCAUGGUAGAUAUGCACCUUACAAAAAUCGACAUCAAUCGUCAAAUAUAAAACUUUGACUAAGACAAAUUACGACGAUUCGAAAAGUGUCCAAUCCAUUGCACUCGAAAAAACUAAGCAAACGUCGCUUUUGACUUACGUGGUAAACAUUGCCGAUUAUUGACUCGCAAAUUCAAGAAUAAUCAUAGUUUAAAAUUUCUGUAUCACUUAUAAUGAUUUGGAUUUCACAUAUACGAUUAUGAUACCAAUGGACUAUGGCCCCAUGUUUACUUAGAAAAAUAAUGGUCAUAUCAUUAAAAUUACGAAAACAAAAAUUAGCUACUAUUAUAGAAAAUGGUUCUGUCCUUAAAAGAAAGAUUUUUAAAAUGCUCCUGAGAUUCCAAUAGGUAUCACAAAAAGAAAUGAGGGCUUUCAAAGACUUGGGAUUAUGUGUUGAUAUUAUUCCACCAUCAAGUUGAGACUUAUGCCUAAAAAUGAUUAUCUAAACAUCAUUCAUGUUGAAUGGGCUAUUGUUUAUUUGAAGCAUUGAUAAACGUAACAAAUAAUUGCAAUGGGUAUCAGCGGCAAUACCAUAACUUAGAGACAGCAAGCUUCAAACGAGGAAGGGAUUUUAAAUAAAAGUAAAGAUGCGCUUAUGUAUUAACAGCAUAAAUAUAAAAAAUUCGAAAAAUCAGAUGAUACGAUAGUACUGUACAAACAUCACCUUAUAUUUUAAGAAAGAAUUUUUCCUAAAAUUAGGCAAAUAAUUGAAAAGAAUAACAAUAAAUUAAAGAUCUCCUUUAAUCUUAAGCUGGUCAGAUGAGGAUGGAAUGUCAGCUUGUACGCCUUCAACGAUAUCCGACGAUUCUUCACCUGGUCUUUUAUAAUGGGCACUGGCUUUUGGACCUUUGAACCAUUUUCGUGCUGAAAUGGCAUACCAUACAAGGGUGAAGAGCAUAGGACCCCCAUACACUAGACAGGUCCAAUUCAUUUCUUGAGCGGUUGGAUUUUUAACAGAUGGAAAGCAUAAAAUAGGAAUCAUCAAAGCAACAAACGAGACUGCCAAAAGACCAAUGGGUCUUGAAAAUUUCCCCAAAUUCCAAGGACCUCUACGGAAAUCAGCAUCUUUGGUAAAGAAGACACGAAUAGCGAUUGGAACAGUGAAGGCAAUAAAAGCAGCAACAGCACCGACAGAAAAUACAGCAUCUAAGGUGACUGUACCAGCAAACGUAAGGAACAAAAUAAGGAUACUAAUGAUGCAGUUACAUAUUACGGCAUUUACAGGAGUUUGAGUGUAUGGGUUGACCGUGCCGAUCCAACCUGAAAAGGGAAGAAUACCGUCUCUGGCAUAGGAAUAGGCGAUACGAGAUGAAGCGAUAAGUGCACUUUGACCCAUGAUGAUGGCAGAAAUAAUCGUAAGACUCAAUAUACCCAAGGCAGCCUUAGGAGGCAUUGCUUGUACAAGAUAAGCCGUCCACAUAGAUCCAGAUGUGUUCAUAACCGAGUCAAUAUCAGUUAAGGUAUAGGCGACGAUAAUUUGCAUAAUCCAUCCAACUACACCUCCAAUAACUGCAGUCAUUACAAUGGCUUUUGGAGCAUUAACACUUGCAUUGGAACAUUCUUCACUAAGAUGAAAGGGGGCAUCGUAACCAGACAUGGUCCAGAUAGGACUGUUGAAGGAAAGAAGGAUAGCAAAACCGGUAGGCCAUUGGGUUGUGUUAAUAUAAUCUCCCCAAAUCUUUGUUCCCUUCACAAAGUUAUGAUUUUUACCGCCAUAAGCUAAGAUCGUAAUACCUGCGAUGAAAAGGAAUGCAGUGUUUAGGUAGGUUGCUACACCAUUAAUACGAGAAAUGAUUCUAGUUGGCAAGCAGGCCAGAACACAAUUAAAGCACUGGAUGGCUACAGCCAAAAGGAACCAUUGCCAACGCUGAAUGACAAAGUCGGGACGAUUGACAGUAACAGCACCUAGAAUCAUACUAGCAGCAGAGGAAUUAACAGAUGGCUGUCCAAUAAUAUUACCAAUAUAAUUAGACCAUCCAGUGAUCCAAGAGGCUAAGGGGCCCCAUCCUUUGGGAGCGAAAACAGCGGCAGCAUAAUACAACCCACCGGAAGUAGGCAUUGCUGAACAGAUCUCUGCCAUACUCAUGGAAACGCAGAUAAGGAAAAACAUUGCAAUUAACCAAGCCCAUAAUAAACCAGGAUAACCAACGUACCAAAGACCAAAAACCAAAGUAGAAGCGACAGAGGGAAGCAUACCGAGAACCGAGAAAGAGAUGGAGAAAAUGCCAAAUAGAGAAAGCUGGCGACGAAACUCUUGUUUAUAACCCAACUCAGCCAAUUCUUCAGGAUUAUCAAUGUCACCUUGAUCAUCGUAAAAAUUUUCAUGGGUAUCAACAAUUUCAGCAGCUUUACCAACUUCGUCAGAGGAAGGCUCAAACGUAAAGCUAUGCUUUGAUGAGGAAACAUCCGUUUUUUCCAUAAUAGACGACAUUUUUAAGAAAACUAAAACAAGACUAAAGAUUAGUGAUUUUUCUCAACAAUGGCAGCUUAUAAACAAUUAUAAUAUAAAAAAGCUUUAGGAUCGACAUAAGAUGUUUAAAGAAAAAAAGUUAGUCAUAGUAGCGAUCGCUCUAUUUUAUUCAUUUUUUUUAUAACAUCCAUAUGUCUAUAUAUAUAUAAAAGAUAUAUAUAGAACUGUUUGCUGCACACUCACAUACAUGUAAUAUGAUUAAGAAUAUUUCAAAAACAGAAUAGAAAAGAGGAACUUAUGGAAAAAACCUGUUGAAACAAUAGUUCAGAGCCAAAGAACAAACUAGCUAAAUAUAAUAUGAAGAGAGAAAAAAAUAAUUUGAAGACUAUACAAUCUUGUAAAACUUUUUGAUAUGUUUAAUAUAAAAAAGCAACAAUUUCAAAUUACUGAUUUUCCUAUAAACACAUUACCCAAGUGAGCCAAAAUAAGGUGAGUCAACGUGAACCAACAAAAACCGAUCCAGAAAACGUGGCUACCACCCUCCAUUUAAGCAUCGAGAAGAGUGGGGACGAACAUAAAAAAAUGUCUCCCCGAGGAAAGCAGGCAAGAAAUUUUUUAAUUUACUGUGCUUUUUCCUCCUUAGAUUAGAUAGACAAAAACACUUAAUUUACACUGAUACCCAGACAUCUAGAUUAAUAUCGACUUGCCUAUUGUUCAUCUUGUGACUUGCAAGGUCAAGCAUAGUGUAGUGAAUAUGAUAGAGUACGAAAGAGAUAUUGACGUGGAGAUUUCCAUCCUAUUUUUGGCUAACAGCCAAUGGAGAACGAAAUUUAUGAUAGAGAAAGAAAUUGCUUAAGAAAGAGAGUCUUAAGACCUUUAUAAAACAUGUUAGCAAAGUGGUUUUGUUUUGCUUAUAUAGGACCCUGAUGUAUAAUUAGUAUUAUAAAAACUAUUUACACUUAUUUUGUACCGAGAAAAAUUUUAAAAAAUACUACUGGACAUCACAGUAUCCAUAUAUAACGAAGUACCUUACAGUGGCUAAUAUGAUGUACAUCUGCGAAUAUCCGUAGAUGAGACGUACAAUACUAAAAUAAGUGAAAAAUGGUAUAAACAAAAGACUGUAACGGCGAUAAUAUAGUAAUGCUAUCUUAAACCGUUACUUCCAACAGUUUAAUCUAGGGGUAUGGAGUGAGAAGGUUGCUUAAGAUAUAUGCCCCCAUGUACAAAUGGGUAAACAUUAUAAUCGUAAAAAAAUUUUUUUGGACAGAUGAAAAAAGGUUUUAUCAAGUUGUAUUAUAAUAAUUCUAGCUUCUCUUUUUUGGUUAAAAGAACAACAAUUUCAUAGCGAUCAUGAAUACGAUAAAAAUAAAAAGAACG